GCAGUGGUGGUUCACAGGUAGGAUCCUCGCCUUCCAUGUGGGAGACCCAGGUUCAAUUCCUGUCCAAUAUA
Molecule: transfer RNA, 71 nt
Filed under: Loxodonta africana (African savanna elephant)
Lineage: Eukaryota; Metazoa; Chordata; Mammalia; Proboscidea; Elephantidae
Rfam family: tRNA
About the family: Transfer RNA (tRNA) molecules are approximately 80 nucleotides in length. Their secondary structure includes four short double-helical elements and three loops (D, anti-codon, and T loops).
Source: Rfam by way of RNAcentral